This 3033-nucleotide ribosomal RNA is filed under the name Salmonella enterica subsp. salamae serovar 55:k:z39 str. 1315K. RNAcentral describes it as "bacterial LSU rRNA". It matches the Rfam family "Bacterial large subunit ribosomal RNA". The record is from RNAcentral. Lineage: Bacteria; Pseudomonadati; Pseudomonadota; Gammaproteobacteria; Enterobacterales; Enterobacteriaceae.
GGGUUGUGAGGUUAAGCGACCAAGCGUACACGGUGGAUGCCCUGGCAGUCAGAGGCGAUGAAGGACGUGCUAAUCUGCGAAAAGCGCCGGUAAGGUGAUAUGAACCGUUAUAACCGGCGAUGUCCGAAUGGGGAAACCCAGUGUGACUCGUCACACUAUCAUUACGUGAAUACAUAGCGUAAUGAGGCGAACCGGGGGAACUGAAACAUCUAAGUACCCCGAGGAAAAGAAAUCAACCGAGAUUCCCCCAGUAGCGGCGAGCGAACGGGGAGGAGCCCAGAGCCUGAAUCAGCAUGUGUGUUAGUGGAAGCGUCUGGAAAGGCGCGCGAUACAGGGUGAGAGCCCCGUACACAAAAGCGCAUAUGCUGUGAGCUCGAUGAGUAGGGCGGGACACGUGGUAUCCUGUCUGAAUAUGGGGGGACCAUCCUCCAAGGCUAAAUACUCCUGACUGACCGAUAGUGAACCAGUACCGUGAGGGAAAGGCGAAAAGAACCCCGGCGAGGGGAGUGAAAAAGAACCUGAAACCGUGUACGUACAAGCAGUGGGAGCCCCACCACUAAGCCAGUGGUGAACUCCACAUACGCAUCCUUUGCUGAGGAUACGGUUAACGGAGCGAAAGCGACGUUCAACCGCAAAAGAAGCAGAGGGGGCUUAGUGGUGGGGUGACUGCGUACCUUUUGUAUAAUGGGUCAGCGACUUAUAUUCUGUAGCAAGGUUAACCGCAUAGGGGAGCCGAAGGGAAACCGAGUCUUAACCGGGCGUUAAGUUGCAGGGUAUAGACCCGAAACCCGGUGAUCUAGCCAUGGGCAGGUUGAAGGUUGGGUAACACUAACUGGAGGACCGAACCGACUAAUGUUGAAAAAUUAGCGGAUGACCUGUGGCUGGGGGUGAAAGGCCAAUCAAACCGGGAGAUAGCUGGUUCUCCCCGAAAGCUAUUUAGGUAGCGCCUCGUGAAUUCAUCUCCGGGGGUAGAGCACUGUUUCGGCUAGGGGGCCAUCCCGGCUUACCAACCCGAUGCAAACUGCGAAUACCGGAGAAUGUUAUCACGGGAGACACACGGCGGGUGCUAACGUCCGUCGUGAAGAGGGAAACAACCCAGACCGCCAGCUAAGGUCCCAAAGUCAUGGUUAAGUGGGAAACGAUGUGGGAAGGCCCAGACAGCCAGGAUGUUGGCUUAGAAGCAGCCAUCAUUUAAAGAAAGCGUAAUAGCUCACUGGUCGAGUCGGCCUGCGCGGAAGAUGUAACGGGGCUAAACCAUGCACCGAAGCUGCGGCAGCGACACGUAAGUGUUGUUGGGUAGGGGAGCGUUCUGUAAGCCGUAGAAGGUGUGUCGUGAGGCAUGCUGGAGGUAUCAGAAGUGCGAAUGCUGACAUAAGUAACGAUAAAGCGGGUGAAAAGCCCGCUCGCCGGAAGACCAAGGGUUCCUGUCCAACGUUAAUCGGGGCAGGGUGAGUCGACCCCUAAGGCGAGGCCGAAAGGCGUAGUCGAUGGGAAACAGGUUAAUAUUCCUGUACUUGGUGUUACUGCGAAGGGGGGACGGAGAAGGCUAUGUUGGCCGGGCGACGGUUGUCCCGGUUUAAGCGUGUAGGUGUGUGUUCCAGGUAAAUCCGGUUCACUUUAACACUGAGGCGUGAUGACGAGGCACUACGGUGCUGAAGCAACAAAUGCCCUGCUUCCAGGAAAAGCCUCUAAGCAUCAGGUAACAUCAAAUCGUACCCCAAACCGACACAGGUGGUCAGGUAGAGAAUACCAAGGCGCUUGAGAGAACUCGGGUGAAGGAACUAGGCAAAAUGGUGCCGUAACUUCGGGAGAAGGCACGCUGACAUGUAGGUGAAGUGAUUUACUCAUGGAGCUGAAGUCAGUCGAAGAUACCAGCUGGCUGCAACUGUUUAUUAAAAACACAGCACUGUGCAAACACGAAAGUGGACGUAUACGGUGUGACGCCUGCCCGGUGCCGGAAGGUUAAUUGAUGGGGUCAGCGCAAGCGAAGCUCCUGAUCGAAGCCCCGGUAAACGGCGGCCGUAACUAUAACGGUCCUAAGGUAGCGAAAUUCCUUGUCGGGUAAGUUCCGACCUGCACGAAUGGCGUAAUGAUGGCCAGGCUGUCUCCACCCGAGACUCAGUGAAAUUGAACUCGCUGUGAAGAUGCAGUGUACCCGCGGCAAGACGGAAAGACCCCGUGAACCUUUACUAUAGCUUGACACUGAACAUUGAGCCUUGAUGUGUAGGAUAGGUGGGAGGCUUUGAAGCGUGGACGCCAGUCUGCGUGGAGCCAACCUUGAAAUACCACCCUUUAAUGUUUGAUGUUCUAACGUGGACCCGUAAUCCGGGUUGCGGACAGUGUCUGGUGGGUAGUUUGACUGGGGCGGUCUCCUCCUAAAGAGUAACGGAGGAGCACGAAGGUUGGCUAAUCCUGGUCGGACAUCAGGAGGUUAGUGCAAUGGCAUAAGCCAGCUUGACUGCGAGCGUGACGGCGCGAGCAGGUGCGAAAGCAGGUCAUAGUGAUCCGGUGGUUCUGAAUGGAAGGGCCAUCGCUCAACGGAUAAAAGGUACUCCGGGGAUAACAGGCUGAUACCGCCCAAGAGUUCAUAUCGACGGCGGUGUUUGGCACCUCGAUGUCGGCUCAUCACAUCCUGGGGCUGAAGUAGGUCCCAAGGGUAUGGCUGUUCGCCAUUUAAAGUGGUACGCGAGCUGGGUUUAGAACGUCGUGAGACAGUUCGGUCCCUAUCUGCCGUGGGCGCUGGAAGAUUGAGGGGGGCUGCUCCUAGUACGAGAGGACCGGAGUGGACGCAUCACUGGUGUUCGGGUUGUCAUGCCAAUGGCACUGCCCGGUAGCUAAAUGCGGAAAAGAUAAGUGCUGAAAGCAUCUAAGCACGAAACUUGCCCCGAGAUGAGUCUUCCCUGAGACUUUGAGUCUCCUGAAGGAACGUUGAAGACGACGACGUUGAUAGGCCGGGUGUGUAAGCGCAGCGAUGCGUUGAGCUAACCGGUACUAAUGAACCGUGAGGCUUAACCUUACAACGCCGAAGCUGUU